Molecule: long non-coding RNA, 376 nt
Filed under: Gossypium barbadense (sea-island cotton)
Lineage: Eukaryota; Viridiplantae; Streptophyta; Magnoliopsida; Malvales; Malvaceae
Description: long non-coding RNA (GBAR_LNC010499)
Source: RNAcentral
GAUGAUAAGUUCUUGAGAGAUACCAUUUUGAACAUGAUGCUUGCAGGGACGGACACCACCAGCUCUGCUCUUACUUGGUUCAUUUGGUUGGUCUCGAGGCAUCCGAUAGUGGAGAACAAGAUCAUAGAAGAGCUUCAAUCAAAACUACCUGCCGAGGAAACCAAAAAGAGGCGGCUAUUCAAUGCUAAAGGAUUUGGUUUAUCUACACGGAGCAUUAUGCGAGGCAUUAAGGUUAUAUCCACCGGUACCAUUCCAGCACAAGGAACCUCUCAAACCAGACAUACUUCCAAGUGGGCAUCCAGUUCAUCCAACCAUGAAAAUAUUGUUUAGUUUGUACGCAAUGGGAAGGAUAAAGUCUUUCUGGGGUGAAGAUUAC